This 480-nucleotide small RNA is filed under the name Pongo abelii (Sumatran orangutan). Its description in RNAcentral is "processed transcript". The record is from RNAcentral. Lineage: Eukaryota; Metazoa; Chordata; Mammalia; Primates; Hominidae.
GCGGCCGCAGCUGCACCUUUGCCUCCGUGGUUCCGCAGCCCAGCCCCGGGAGGACGCGCUGCCCUGCGUCGUCCGCACUUGCGCCCUUUCCCACCGCAACAGGUCAGGGGAGGGCGGAGGUGACGAGGGCGCCCGACCCGGGACUAGAGGACGGAAGGGUCUGGAAGAUGAACAGACUAGCCACUUUGCAUUGACUGGAAACAAUGGCAUUUACGGAAAGAGUCAACAGCAGUGGCAACAGAUACUUAUUGAAGAUCUGCUGUCAUAUGAUGCAUUAAAAUCUGAUAGAUCAAAGACGACCUAUGGGAGAGAAUACGAGAAUAGAAAAAUGGGAGUCCCUGUUCUGUUUAACCUGGCAGAUAAGCACACAGCCAGAUUGUGAAACAGUGUGAUAAAUGCUCUAGCAGAAGAGCAAAUAAAGUGUUAAAGGAUCAUAGAAAACAGCAAAGUGUCACGGAUGAAAUCUUUCUAAUGAGAACC